Molecule: signal recognition particle RNA, 300 nt
Filed under: Macaca fascicularis (crab-eating macaque)
Lineage: Eukaryota; Metazoa; Chordata; Mammalia; Primates; Cercopithecidae
Also listed under: 1 other name
Description: Metazoan signal recognition particle RNA
Rfam family: Metazoan signal recognition particle RNA
About the family: The signal recognition particle (SRP) is a universally conserved ribonucleoprotein. It is involved in the co-translational targeting of proteins to membranes.
Source: Rfam by way of RNAcentral
GCUUGGCAUGGUGGCAUGUUCCUGUAGUCCCAGCUACUCAGUAGGCUGAGGAAGGAGGAUCACUUGAGUUCAGGAGUUCUGGGUUGUAGUGCACUAUGCCAAUUGGGCAUCCACACUAAGUUCAGCUUCAAUAUGGUGACUUCGUGGGAGAAGAGGACCAUCAGGUUGCCUAAGGAGGGGUGAACUGACCCAGGUCAGAAACAGAGCAGGUCAAAACUCCCAUUCUGAUUAGUAGUGGGAUCAUGCCUGUGAAUAGCCACUGCACUCCAACUUGGGAAACAUAGUGAGACCUGGUUUUCU